RNAcentral lists this ribosomal RNA (968 nucleotides) under Leuconostoc mesenteroides. Its description in RNAcentral is "bacterial SSU rRNA". It matches the Rfam family "Bacterial small subunit ribosomal RNA", at positions 54 to 1004 of the family's 1533-position model. The record is from RNAcentral. Lineage: Bacteria; Bacillati; Bacillota; Bacilli; Lactobacillales; Lactobacillaceae.
UUUGCAAGUUCGAACGCACAGCGAAAGGUGCUUGCACCUUAUCAAGUGAGGGCGAACGGGUGAGUAACACGUGGACAACCUGCCUCAAGGCUGGGGAUAACAUUUGGAAACAGAUGCUAAUACCGAAUAAAACUUAGUGUCGCAUGACACAAAGUUAAAAGGCGCUUCGGCGUCACCUAGAGAUGGAUCCGCGGUGCAUUAGUUAGUUGGUGGGGUAAAGGCCUACCAAGACAAUGAUGCAUAGCCGAGUUGAGAGACUGAUCGGCCACAUUGGGACUGAGACACGGCCCAAACUCCUACGGGAGGCUGCAGUAGGGAAUCUUCCACAAUGGGCGAAAGCCUGAUGGAGCAACGCCGCGUGUGUGAUGAAGGCUUUCGGGUCGUAAAGCACUGUUGUAUGGGAAGAACAGCUAGAAUAGGAAAUGAUUUUAGUUUGACGGUACCAUACCAGAAAGGGACGGCUAAAUACGUGCCAGCAGCCGCGGUAAUACGUAUGUCCCGAGCGUUAUCCGGAUUUAUUGGGCGUAAAGCGAGCGCAGACGGUUUAUUAAGUCUGAUGUGAAAGCCCGGAGCUCAACUCCGGAAUGGCAUUGGAAACUGGUUAACUUGAGUGCAGUAGAGGUAAGUGGAACUCCAUGUGUAGCGGUGGAAUGCGUAGAUAUAUGGAAGAACACCAGUGGCGAAGGCGGCUUACUGGACUGCAACUGACGUUGAGGCUCGAAAGUGUGGGUAGCAAACAGGAUUAGAUACCCUGGUAGUCCACACCGUAAACGAUGAACACUAGGUGUUAGGAGGUUUCCGCCUCUUAGUGCCGAAGCUAACGCAUUAAGUGUUCCGCCUGGGGAGUACAACCGCAAGGUUGAAACUCAAAGGAAUUGACGGGGAACCCGCACAAGCGGUGGAGCGUGGUUUAAUUCGAAACAACGCGAAAACCUUACCAGGUCUUGACAUCCUUUGAAUUUUAGAAA